AGAGCUUUGGCUCAGUGGAAGAAUGUAUGCUUUCUAUGCAAAGGGACCCAGGUUUGAUUCCUGAAAAUUCCA
Molecule: transfer RNA, 72 nt
Filed under: Sphaerodactylus townsendi
Lineage: Eukaryota; Metazoa; Chordata; Lepidosauria; Squamata; Sphaerodactylidae
Description: tRNA-Arg
Rfam family: tRNA
About the family: Transfer RNA (tRNA) molecules are approximately 80 nucleotides in length. Their secondary structure includes four short double-helical elements and three loops (D, anti-codon, and T loops). Further hydrogen bonds mediate the characteristic L-shaped molecular structure. tRNAs have two regions of fundamental functional importance: the anti-codon, which is responsible for specific mRNA codon recognition, and the 3' end, to which the tRNAs corresponding amino acid is attached (by aminoacyl-tRNA synthetases). tRNAs cope with the degeneracy of the genetic code in two manners: having more than one tRNA (with a specific anti-codon) for a particular amino acid; and 'wobble' base-pairing, i.e. permitting non-standard base-pairing at the 3rd anti-codon position.
Source: RNAcentral